CAACUGAGCAACUCGUACAAAAAGUACGUUGAAUUAAAGCGAACCAGCAGCGAGUUUAUUUAAUUUUAGUCUGCAGAUUAUACAAGAAUCGCGCCGCUGAUUAUGGCCGACUAUUAUCUGGAAACGUGGCAAGAUUUCUACUGCCAGCAGUUGGUGCUUUCGUUGUCUUCAGCCACAGGUGUUCUUCUAAUUGUCCUAUGUUCGAACCGAUUGGGCCUCCGAUUGAUGCUGGUUACCCUUCAGCUGUUUCUUCUGGCUCUGAUCUGUUGGUUUUCUCUUCUGGCAUUCAACCUAAUUUACCAAAUAUCAUUAUCAUCAUCAUCAAUAUCAGCAUCAUACGAAGCCAACAAAACUAGCUAUCUUGAAAAUAUCAUCGACCAACAAACCCUACUUUACUCGACACUCUUCCUCACUUUUCUCUCGAGCUCUCUGUUCAUUUUCUUCCUAUUGCAUAUACUCAUCAACUCUGCGAUUAAAGCAGCUCAGUUGAAUUCAGACUUGAAGUCUGUCAUUGAAUGGAAUUCUGGCCGGUUGGAUCUACACAUAAAAGGACUCGCUUCAUUUCUCGAGGUACUCAUCGCUCUGCAACUAUUCGUGUGGUUCUGUGUUGCCGAUGAUCUUAUGAGGUCCAGAGUUAUGGAAAAAUCUAUCACGCAUAAUUUAGCCCUGGCUCAAGUGGAAAUAAUAUCAGUGAUUGUUUUGUAUCUGGUCAGAAUUAACAUUCUGAAGACAAGUAAAAGCAGUCAAGUAUUUGAUUGUUAGAUAAA
Long non-coding RNA from Symsagittifera roscoffensis, 767 nucleotides. RefSeq lists it as uncharacterized. NCBI's taxonomy places the organism in Eukaryota, Metazoa, Xenacoelomorpha, Acoela, Convolutidae. The transcript has 3 exons. The record is from RefSeq and is a predicted model, not a curated record.